UUUUCUUUUGGCUGUGUUUUAAAAGGGUCUUGGUCAAAUUUUAAAGGUUAGGGCAUUUUAGAGUCAGAUUUGUUUCAUAAUUUUUCUAUGUAACAUAUUCACUUCCCAUUAAAAUGUAAUUUUCUCUACCAAUAAGUUGUUAGGCUUCUGAUCCCUCAGGGAAACUGUAGUUGACAUGAGCAUUACCUCAUCCAAAUGUAUGUUCCCAGUGAACCUGUCAUCGAGUGGACUUGAUGCCUUAAUUUUUUCCUUUUGUAGCAAGAUGCCUAACUGGUUACUUAUGCAAGCAUUGUUAGUGAAAUUAGGGGGAGUAAGGGGAAUAAAAAAUGUAUGGAAAUUAUGAGUGUUAGAACUGAGCACAAUCAUUGCAGCAUCUGAUGCAGACAUUUCAGGGUAAGCCAAGUAGUCUCUUCAGAAUAAAAAUGAGGGUAAUUAGACUCAAUUCAUUUAUUCAACACUUAGGUCAAGUCCAUGAACUCUACAAAGACAACUGUGCCAUGGAUUUUGCUCUCUAGAGUGGUAAGACAUGUAUAUGGUUUGUCUACUCAUUCAACAAACACUUUCUGAGCAUGUUUUGUCUCCUGAGGUCAGCUCUGGAGAUACAAUGGUACAUGGCACAAAUCUUUGCAAGUGCUAAAUAUAAUAACUGAUAUUAAUAGGCUGUGAGUGAAGAGCACAAAAUGUGUAGUGGGUGUUCCUGGGAUACAGUAGCUCUGUGCAUGUAGAAGGGAUUAGUAAGGGCCUCGUGAAGGAGACAGCAUUUGCUCUGGGACUUGAAGGAAAGACAGGAUUGGAAAUGUAGAGAUGCUAAGGAAGGUUGUCCUCAAUAGAGAAAAUGCCAUAGCUGAAGGGCCCUCAUAUGCUAUUCUUAUCUAACUAUGUGAUUCUAAGCUCAGGUGAUCCAAAGAGGCUCCUCAGAGUUGUGGCAAACUGAAGCCAGUGGUGUAGGUUGAAAGGAAUCUGAGAGAAGAUCAACACCCAGGAGAAUCUAAGGUGCCAUUAUGGGUGAAUCAUUUUAGGCCAUGUUUCAGAACAAAAUUUCCACAGACUCACUACCAAAUACUCAGACUUAUAUUUUUGGUUCAGAGGUUUGACGAAAAACUCUGGAAGCCUAUUGCAGAGAACUGAAUAAGGUAAAAAUCUACCUUUUACUGGACACAUCGUUUAGGAAGCAAAUUAGUCUCCGUUAUCAGAAAGUUCCAAGGGGGAAUCUAAAAUGUGAUACUUUGCUCAGCAGCUGACAAUAUUUUUGCUACAUUUUCAACUUGCCUUCAAUUCUGUUUAUUUCACUUGUCUAAUUUACUAUCUAGAUAAUUUAAACAAUGAGAAUACAGUGACCUGCAAUUUUCCUAAUUUAAAGGUAUGUCUUGUGCAAUAUUAAAUUUGCAUCUACAUUGCCUGCCUAACAAGACUGUCACCUCCUUCAGGUCAAUGUGAUGUUAUCUAUUUUUUUAGAUAACAUCUAUGUCUCUAAUAGAUCUAUUUGUGCCAUAGAACCAUACAGUCCUUCUUAGAUAGGGGAAGCACAAAUGUUGGUUGAUAUUUAACAGAGUAUCAGACCUACAGCUUUCUCUCUAAGAGCUCAAACUUCAGAGAGUAGAUUCAGAGAGUAAAUAUUUUCCCAGGGUCAGGCAAGAGGGGUGGUUUGUAUAAUAUUUCUUUCUUAUUUUCCAGUUAGACUUUUGGAAAUCUGCCAGAUGCAAUUGAAAAACCCUGCUCAGCUUUGUCCAAUGUCUCAUUUGAGGAUCAGCAUGAGUUUGUUUACUUGAGAUUAAUAGGAGUCAAGGAUAUACAAAUUCAGCAAUGUAUGGAUAACUUUCCCCUUUUUAACGCUGGCCUCACACAAAACUACCACCAUAUUGUUGAAUUUUGGAAGUUUAUUAUGCUUUAUUUUUUCCUAUUAAAAAAAUAAAUGUCAUCACAUUGUAAUAGUUUUAUAGCCUGUUUUAUCAUAUUUUAAAAUACAUCUUGAAUAUUCUUCCAUAUAAUUAAUCUUCUACAGCAUAAUUUUAAUAUCUAUGAAGAUUCCAUUAUGUGCUUAUAUUAUACAUUUUUACUCUGAAUACAUUAUUGUUGUAAAGAAUGCUUACAAUUAUGAAAAUAAAUGUGUAUGGCUCAUUU
RNAcentral lists this long non-coding RNA (2121 nucleotides) under Pongo abelii (Sumatran orangutan). RNAcentral's name for it is "lincRNA". Lineage: Eukaryota; Metazoa; Chordata; Mammalia; Primates; Hominidae. The record is from RNAcentral.